This 492-nucleotide ribosomal RNA is filed under the name uncultured bacterium. Its description in RNAcentral is "partial 16S ribosomal RNA". It matches the Rfam family "Bacterial small subunit ribosomal RNA", at positions 29 to 507 of the family's 1533-position model. The record is from RNAcentral.
AGUGAACGCUGGCGGUAGGCCUAACACAUGCAAGUCGAACGGCAGCACAGUAAGAGCUUGCUCUUACGGGUGGCGAGUGGCGGACGGGUGAGGAAUACAUCGGAAUCUACUUUUUCGUGGGGGAUAACGUAGGGAAACUUACGCUAAUACCGCAUACGACCUACGGGUGAAAGUAGGGGAUCUUCGGACCUUGCGCGAUUGAAUGAGCCGAUGUCGGAUUAGCUAGUUGGCGGGGUAAAGGCCCACCAAGGCGACGAUCCGUAGCUGGUCUGAGAGGAUGAUCAGCCACACUGGAACUGAGACACGGUCCAGACUCCUACGGGAGGCAGCAGUGGGGAAUAUUGGACAAUGGGCGCAAGCUUGAUCCAGCCAUACCGCGUGGGUGAAGAAGGCCUUCGGGUUGUAAAGCCCUUUUGUUGGGAAAGAAAAGCAGCAGGUUAAUACCCCGCUGUUCUGACGGUACCCAAAGAAUAAGCACCGGCUAACUUCGUG